Sapajus apella (tufted capuchin) is the source of this 1464-nucleotide RNA transcript. It is a transcript of the gene named heterogeneous nuclear ribonucleoprotein A1 pseudogene, with no coding region annotated. Lineage: Eukaryota; Metazoa; Chordata; Mammalia; Primates; Cebidae. The record is from RefSeq and is a predicted model, not a curated record. The transcript has a single exon.
UCUGAGAUACGUUUGUCAGUUUGCUCCUUUUUGCCCGUGGACGCCGCCGAAGAAGCAUCGUUAAAGUCUCUCUUCUCCCUGCGAUCAUGUCUAAGUCAGAGUCUCCUAAAGAGCCGGAACAGCUGAGGAAGCUCUUCAUUGGAGGGUUGAGCUUUGAAACAACCGAUGAGAGCCUGAGGAGCCAUUUUGAGCAAUGAGGAACGCUCACAGACUGUGUGGUAAUGAGAGAUCCAAACACCAAGCGCUCCAGGGGCUUUGGGUUCGUCACGUAUGCAACUGUGGAGGAAGUGGCUGCAGCCAUGAACGCAAGGCCACACAAAGUGGAUGGAAGAGUUGUGGAACCAAAGAGAGCUGUCUCAAAAGAAGAUUCUCAAAGACCAGGUGCCCACUUAACUGAAAAAAAUAUUCGUUGGCGGCAUUAAAGAAGACACUGAAGAACAUCACCUAAGAGAUUAUUUUGAACAGUAUGGAAAAAUUGAAGUGAUUGAAAUCAUGACUGACAGAGGCAGUGGCAAGAAAAGGGGCUUUGCUUUUGUAACCUUUGAUGACCAUGACUCCGUGGAUAAGAUUGUCAUUCAGAAAUACCAUACUGUGAAUGGCCACAACUGUGAAGUUAGGAAAGCCCCAUCAAAGCAAGAGAUGGCUAGUGCUUCAUCCAGCCAAAGACGUCGAAGUGGUUCUGGAAACUUUGGUGGUGGUCGUGGAGGUGGUUUCGGUGGGAAUGACAACUUUGGUCGCGGAGGAAACUUCAGUGGUCGUGGUGGCUUUGGUGGCAGCCGUGGUGGUGGUGGAUAUGGUGGCAGUGGGGAUGGCUAUAAUGGAUUUGGUAAUGAUGGUGGUUAUGGAGGAGGCGGCCCUGGUUAGUCUGGAGGAAGCAGAGGCUAUGGAAGUGGUGGACAGGGUUAUGGAAACCAGGGCAGUGGCUAUGGCGGGAGUGGCAGCUAUGACAGCUAUAACAACGGAGGCGGAGGCGGCUUUGGCGGUGGUAGUGGAGGCAAUUUUGGAGGUGGUGGAAGCUACAAUGAUUUUGGCAGUUACAACAAUCAGUCUUCAAAUUUUGGACCCAUGAAGGGAGGAAACUUUGGAGGCAGAAGCUCUGGCCCCUAUGGUGGUGGCGGCCAAUACUUUGCCAAACCACGAAACCAAGGUGGCUAUGGUGGUUCCAGUAGCAGCAGUAGCUAUAGCAGUGGCAGAAGAUUUUAAUUAGGAAACAAAGCUUAGCAGGAGAGGAGAGCCAGAGAGGUGACAGGGAAGCUACAGGUUACAACAGAUUUGUGAACUCAGCCAAGCACAGUGGUGGCAGGGCCUAGCUGCUACACAGAAGACAUGAUUUAGACAAAUACUCAUGUGUAUGGGCAAAAAACUCGAGGGCUGUAUUUGUGACUAAUUGUAUAACAGGUUAUUUUAGUUUCUGUUCUGUGGAAAGUGUAAAGCAUUCCAAGGAAGGGUUUUAAUGUAGAUUUU